Molecule: long non-coding RNA, 965 nt
Organism: Penaeus monodon (black tiger shrimp)
Lineage: Eukaryota; Metazoa; Arthropoda; Malacostraca; Decapoda; Penaeidae
Exons: 3
Source: RefSeq, a predicted model, not a curated record
AUUCUAUGUUUUCUGGAUAAAGUCAAGCAAUCAAGACCCAUUGGCCUAAAAAGGGGAUAUGCAAGGGAGGAAAAGGAUGACUCAGGAGAGGACAACAGGCCCAGGGGACCCAGAAGAGGACAGCAGAACCAAAAUCGCAAACUAAGUAAAGCAAAGCAACAGGGUUGUGCGACAACUGAUGCCUGCAGUAUGAAAGGAGGAAAGUGCAAGGCAAAGUGUAGGAAAAAUGCCGAUUCAAGCCUAUGUAGUGGCGACUGCACUUGCUGUGGAGCAUGUGCGGCAAAAGGCAAGUGUAACCGUUAUGAUGGAGUAUGCAAGCAAUCUUGCGAUGCAACAGAGCGGGUGAUAAAGGGAGGAUGCACGAAUAAAAAGAAAUGUACUUGUUGUGCUCCACCGUGCGAACAAAAUGGGUGCCAAGGUCAAUGUGUCAGCAAAAGGAAAGAAUGCAAUGGGAAUUUCAUCAAGAAUGGCUGUGGCGGAAAUAAAUGCCAUUGCUGCAGUUCGGUUGGUAAGUUGUAAAACAUGCCAGGGUAAAAAAGGUGUCAACUAAAAAAGGUAAGUUUCUCUCUGUUCAUGCAUACUAUUCAGAUCUCUUAGUCUUUUCAACAAAACAGUAAGUAUCUGAAAAUAAGCUGAAGUAGCUUGCAAUUUCUCUAGAGCUAACCAGACCCAAACGAUAUUCACUGCAUCAAGGCUUUGAUCAGAAGGGUGGGUAAUUAGGCAGGACGAUGGCUGAGAACCUUUGCAGAGAAAUGACUACUCCAUGCACUCCAAGAAGUCAGAAAUGAUCCCUACAUGGUAAAGCAGCAACCAAGCACAGCUGUGAUCAACUCUACGACAGUUUGAAUAACUUCAAACAGAACCUCCUUGGAAUUCAACUUAAGCUUUUCUUUUACUGGAGAUCCUCAAGGCUUCAUACAAAUCAUUUCAUAUCUGUGAUAAUAAAAGUUAAUGAUUAAAAUCUG